GACGAACGCUGGCGGCGUGCCUAAUACAUGCAAGUAGAACGCUGAAGGAGGAGCUUGCUCUUCUGGAUGAGUUGCGAACGGGUGAGUAACGCGUAGGUAACCUGCCUGGUAGCGGGGGAUAACUAUUGGAAACGAUAGUUAAUACCGCAUAACAGUAGAUGUUGCAUGACAUUUACUUAAAAGGUGCAAUUGCAUCACUACCAGAUGGACCUGCGUUGUAUUAGCUAGUUGGUGGGGUAACGGCUCACCAAGGCGACGAUACAUAGCCGACCUGAGAGGGUGAGCGGCCACACUGGGACUGAGACACGGCCCAGACUCCUACGGGAGGCAGCAGUAGGGAGUCUUCGGCAAUGGACGGAAGGCUGAACGAGCAACGCCGCGUGAGUGAAGAAGGUUUUCGGAUCGUAAAGCUCUGUUGUAAGAGAAGAACGAGUGUGAGAGUGGAAAGUUCACACUGUGACGGUAUCUUACCAGAAAGGGACGGCUAACUACGUG
This 495-nucleotide ribosomal RNA is filed under the name uncultured bacterium. RNAcentral describes it as "partial 16S ribosomal RNA". It matches the Rfam family "Bacterial small subunit ribosomal RNA", at positions 28 to 507 of the family's 1533-position model. The record is from RNAcentral.